UACGUAGGGUGCGAGCGUUGCCCGGAUUUAUUGGGCGUAAAGGGCGCACAGGCGGUUCGGCACGUCCGUUGUGAAAUCGCUCGGCUCAACUGGGCGGGGUCAGCGGAUACGGUCGAACUUGAGCAAGCUAGGGGGCAAUGGAAUUCCCGGUGUAGUGGUGGAAUGCGUAGAUAUCGGGAGGAAGGCCGGUGGCGAAGGCGGCGCUCUGGAACAUUUCUGACGCUGAGGCUCGAAAGCGUGGGGAGCAAACAGG
This 253-nucleotide ribosomal RNA is filed under the name uncultured bacterium. Its description in RNAcentral is "partial 16S ribosomal RNA". It matches the Rfam family "Bacterial small subunit ribosomal RNA", at positions 524 to 776 of the family's 1533-position model. The record is from RNAcentral.